GCAAAGGAAUCUGCCUUAUAGUAGAGAACAUGAUAAAAGUAAAUUCUCUAUAUAAAGAAAGAUUAUAUCGCUAUAAGAGGAGCCUUUGUAGGAUUAGGUAGUUGGUAGGGUAAAAGCCUACCAAGCCAAAGAUCCUUAGCUGGUCUGAGAGGAUGUACAGCCACACUGGGACUGAAACAAGGCCCAGACUUCCACGGAAGGCUGCAGUAGGGAAUUCUGGACAAUGGGCGAAAGCUUGAUCCGGUGAUACCAGAGGAGUGAAGAAGGUAUAAAUCGUAAAACUCGGUUACUAAGGAGGAU
This 300-nucleotide ribosomal RNA is filed under the name uncultured bacterium. Its description in RNAcentral is "bacterial SSU rRNA". It matches the Rfam family "Bacterial small subunit ribosomal RNA", at positions 115 to 449 of the family's 1533-position model. The record is from RNAcentral.